Molecule: long non-coding RNA, 9365 nt
Filed under: Homo sapiens (human)
Lineage: Eukaryota; Metazoa; Chordata; Mammalia; Primates; Hominidae
Description: non-protein coding lnc-TRPM1-1:22
Source: RNAcentral
ACAGAGCCUGCCUGUUGGUCUCUACCCACAGGGGAUCCCCUGCUGCUCCACCAUCAGAUUUGGGACACCACCCCCCCCCCGGCCCCACCAGAGGGCAUCAGCUAUGCCUAGAAGGGGACCACAACAGACUCGACAGGAUCCACCGGUUGGGCCCAAGGCAGGAGGAAGGGCGGCGCCCCCAAACUCCCAGGACGCCUGCAGCACCCCCCACGCGCCGCUCUCCGCCUCUGGGGAGCAUCCUGCCACCCCCCGACACACACACCCCGGCUACAUCCCGCCUUCUCACGCUUGGUCAGGCGCUCUGGAGAUGUCGGAGAUCCAGGCUUUUCCUAAAGAGUCAGGAUUGGAAGGCGGUGAGGGCAUCAGGACUCCCACCGUUUGCUGAGCUCCACAUGACAACAGCAGACGACAGGCCGCACUGAUCCCACCUGGCUUACAGGUGCUGUCACACAGGCUCCCUUGCUCCUUCAUUCAACCAUUGUUUACAUGUCGUUCAGGACUGCUGACUAAACACUUUCAAGCACAGUGGACCCUUGAACAACGCAGGUUCAAACUGUGCAGGUCCACCCACAGGGAUGUUUUUCAAUCAGAGUUAUACCAAGUGUCCCUGCCUCUCCUGCCUCCCUUCCCACUUCCUCCAUGUCUUCCUCUCUGCCACCCUGAGGCAGCAAGACCAGCCCCUCCUCCUCAGCCACUCAACAUGAAGACAACGAGGAUGAAGACUUCUAUGAUAAUCCACUUCCACUUAGUAAAUGCUUUCUCUUAUGAUAUUCUUAAUGACAUUUUAUUUUCCCAAGCUUAGUUUAUUGUAAGAAUACAGUAUAAAUACACAUACAAAGUACGUGUUAACUGAUUUUUUAAUGUUACCAGUAAGGCUUCCAGUUAACAGUAGGCUAUUUAUUAGUUAAGUUUGGAGGGAGCCUGAAGUUAUACAAGCUCUGACUGCGUGAGGGGUUGGCUCUCCAACCCUCACAUUGUUCAAGGCUCAACUGCACCUCUCCUACCUAUCUCCCCCACCCUCUGAUGUAGUAGGAUAAAUAUAAAAACACUUAGAAAUCCUUGAAAACCAGGAAAAAUGCCACCAACAGACUAGAACAUUGGAGAAUUUCUGGAAGAUAUAAAGCGGAGGAGAUCAGAUUCGUGGUGAAACGCAAUAGAGCCAAUGGCCUGCAGGUGGGAGACCAUUUCAAGUCUGGAAAUGGGGUAGGGUGGGGGCAGUGGAGAAGGAAUGAGUCAUGGAGCUUGGAUACGGUAAUCACACAAACGGCUACCCAGGUGGCUGAGGCAGUGUCCUGCCUGUCCCCAGGGUAAAGUCUGAGUGCAGCAUUCAGACUGAAGACAAAGAUGCACCGGGAGCCUCCAGAGCCAACACUGGCCCAAAGAGAGAAGCAGGGGCCCGCCCAGGUGACUGCCAGGCACUGUCAGCCACACUGACAGGGAGAGCGGCCCAGAUGAGAGGCCCAGGAAGGCACUCUGCCUUUGCAACGUCCUGGCCUGUCUCCAUGACCACAGGUGCCCAGUGGUGCCAGGGUUGCCAGACAGUGGUGGUUUAGUUGUGUGCAAGAACUACUCUGCACAGCAAGAAUGAUUGGUUGAGACUGACAGAUCGCAAACACACUGCAUUCAGGAACCCUUCACCCUCUCUUAGAAAUGGCUGAGGGUCUCAGCGGGCUUUCAUUCAUAUGAGUUUAUCUAUCAAUAUUUACGGUAGUAGAAGUUCAAGUGAAAAAUAAAUAAAUAUUCAUUUAUCUUAAAAUAAUAAUGGCAUGUUAACAUAAAUAACACUUAUACAUGCUGGGUGUGGUGGCUCACGCCUGUAAUCCCAGCACUUUGGGAGGCCGAGGCGGGCGAGUCACCUGAGGUCGGGAGUUUGAGACCAGCCUGACCAACAUGGUGAAACCCCAUCUUUACCAAAAAUACAAAAAAUUAGCCAGGUGUGGUGGUGCGUGGCUGUAAUCCCAGCUACUCAGGAGGCUGAGACAGGAGAACCGCUUGAACCCGGGAGGCAGAGGUUGCAGUGAGUUGAGAUGGUGCCACUGCAUUGCAGCCCGGGCAACAAGAGUGAAACUCUGUCUCAAAACAAAACAAACAAAACAAAAAAACUCCCCAAUGUCUGGCUUAAUAGCUGGAUUUUCUUUUUUGUUGUUGUAUUUUUUUAUUUUUAUGUAUUUAUGCAUUUAAUUUUUAUGUAUUCAUAUGUAUUUAAUUUUUUAAAUUUAUUUAUUGAGACAGAGUCUCACUCUGACACCCAGGCUGCAAUGCAGUGGCACAAUCUUGGCUCACUGCAACCUCUGCCUCCCAGUUCAAGCAAUCCUCCUGCCUCGGCCUCCCAAGUAGCUGGGAUUACAGGAAUGCACCACCACGCCUAGCUUUUUUUUUUUUUUUUUUUGUAUUUUUAGUAGAGAUGGCGUUUCACCAUGUUGGCCAGGCUGGUCUCAAACUCCUGACCUCAAGUGGUCUGUCUGCCUCAGCCUCCCAAAGUGUUGAGAUUACAGGCAGGAGCCGCCAUGCCCAGCCAACAGCUGGAUUUUCAUACCUCCUUCUUUCAAGCUAUAGUGAUAACACACAUCAUGUAGACUCUGGAAAACUCCACUGAACACCCAUUUGUAUAUGUGCUGCUGAAGUGAGCACCUGAACACCCAUUAGGAAAAACAAGUCUUUUUUAUUCCUAUUAAAUAGUUUUGGCUUUGCAGACACCCAGAAAGAGUCUUAAGAACCCUUAGGGGUCCAUGGAUCUCACUUUGAAAACCACUCUCUGGACGUUCAUUUACAAAUGGGAUCAGACAAUCAAAAAUCCCCAGACAUUUGAAGGAAACCAACAGCCUGCAGAAGAAGUAGACAGAACGCUGGAGAAAACAGGAUAAUAAUGCAGGAAUCAGAAGAAGACAUUAAAAUCAGCAUAAUUCAUAUCCUUUGAAAGGUUCAAUAAAAUAUAACAACCAGUUAGAUGGCAAGUGGGCACAGAGCAAAUACACAAAAAUCAAUACUUUCCAUAGAUACCAUUAAAUAAUCAAUAGGAGAGGACAUUUGCAAUACCAACAACAAUCAUAAAUAAUCUAGGCAUAGGCAUAACCAAAAUUCUGGAGAACCUACAUGAAGAAAAAUGUUUAAUCGUAUUAAAGGACAUAAAUUGAGAGAUGUAUUAUGUUUCCCGUAGGAAGCUUCAAUAUUGUAAAAGUGGCAAUUAUUUGAGUUGCUCCGUGAACUGUCCUCUGCAUUAUACUAGGUUGAGUGGGAUUUCUGUCAAGAGUAUGCACCAAGAGUCAUAACUAAUAUAUCUUGUAGGUCAGCAGUCCCCAGCCUUUUUGGCACCAGGGACCAGUUUCAUGGAAGACAAUUUUUCCACAGACACAGGCUGAGCGGGGGAUGGUUUCAGGGUGAACCUGUUCCACCUCAGAUCAUCAGGCAUUAAGAGUCUUUUAAGGAAUGUGCAACCUAGAUCCCUCAUACGCACAGUUCACAGUAGGGUUUGUGCUCCUAUGAGAAUCUAAUGUCGCUGCUGGUCUGACAGGAGGCGGAGCUCAGGUGGUCAUGCUCCCGCGCCUGCUACUCAUCUUCUGCUAUGUAGCCUGGUUCUUAACAAACCACAGACAGGGAAUAGUCUGCAGCCCCGGGUUUGGGGACCACUGCUCUAGGUUGAAAGCCGCUCCAAAUAAAAUAAAGAGACAAGUGACUGAUUACAAGAUGUUUGCAAGAUAUAUAAUAGUCAAAAGGUUAAUAUACUUAAUAUAUAACAUUCCUGGAGUCAUAACAUUUUAAGACAAAGAACCUUAAAAUACAGGCAGAUAAUAGAAGCUAAAUGACAAGUAUCUACAUGCAUGAAAACGAAUCAACCUCUGAAUUAGUUAGGGUAAAGCUCACCUGCUCUAACAAAGAGGCCUGAUGAUACAGAGGCUAGAAGAAUAAACAGAUUUGUUUCUGUAUUAGGUUCUCCAGAGAACAGAACCAAUAGGAGAAACACACACACACACACACAUAUAUAUAUGAUAAGUAUGUGUAUAUUUAUCUAAUAUAUAUUAUAGAUCUAUAUUAGACAUUACAUAGGCUAUAUAUAUACACAGACACACAUGCACACACAUUUAUUUUAAGGAAUUUUGAAGAAUUUAUUUUAGGGAACUGUUGUAAGGGAUUCAUUUUAAGGAAUUGGCUUCUGCGGUUGUGGAGGCUUGGCAAAUCCAAAAUCUGCAGAGUAAGCCGGUAGGCUGGAGACCGAUAUUACAAGUUGGAGUUCACAAGCAGUUGGCCAGCAGAAUUCCUCCUUGCUCAGAGCAGGUCAGUCUCUUUUCUCUUAAGGUCUUCAACUGAUGGGAUGAGAUCUGCCCACAUUGUGGAGAAUAAUCUGCUUUACUCAAAAUCUUCUGAUUUAAAUGCUAAUCUUAUCUUAAAAAGUACUUUCACCGGUUGUGGUAGCUCAGGCCUGUAAUCCCAGCACUUUGGGAAGCCAAGGUGGGCAGAUCACUUCAGGUCAGGAGACCAGCCUGGCCAACAUGGUGAAACCCCAUCUCUACUAAAAAUACAAAAAUUAGCCAGGCAUGGUGGCACAUGCCUGUAAUCCCAGCUACUUGGGAGGCUGAGGCACGAGAAUCACUUGAACCUGGGAGGUGGAGGUUGCAGUGAGCCAAGAUUGUGCCACCGCACUCCAGCCUGGGCAACAGAGUGAGACUGUCUCAAUCAAUCAAUCAAUUAAUCAAUACCUUCAUAAAAACAUCUAGAAUAGUGUCUAAUCAAAUAUCUGAGCGAUGUAGCCAGAUAUUUAAGUUAACACAUAAAAUGUGCCAUCCCUCUUUCUUUCUCAGGUUAUGGAUCUGAGCUGAGCAGCAGCUCUGCUCCUCCUGGUCCCCCCAAACCCCAGGACCCUUCUCUCCUGCUGCUCGCCUCCCCUUGGGCACUGCCACAGCCAGAUUCUAGGCAGCUUGGAGGCCGAGGUACAGAAGAGGCUCCUAUCACAGGCCUGCUCUUACUCUGUCACUGAGAACUUGGUCCUGUGGACAAGCCUAACUGUAAAGCAGGCUGGAAUUGUAGUUGAGCUCAGCAGCUGCUGCCCAGCCACAGAUCUGUUGGGUUGGAAGAAAAGGAACAUGGAUUGUUUUUUCCCUUUAGUGGAGGUGAGGUCUUGCUAUGUUGCCCAGGUUGGCUUGAAUUCCUGAGUUCAAGCGAUCUUCCUACCUUAGCCUCCCAAAGUGCUAGGAUUACAGGCAUGAGCAAACCAAGAAGUCUCUACCCAACCUCCCUGUUAAAAAGGAAAUGUAAACUAAAUCCAUGAACUACUUUCUUUUUUUUUGCUUAUCAGAUUGGCAAAAAUUAAAAGUUUGUAAUCAGUUGUAUGUAUCAGACAGGAGGGUUCUUAACCCAUAGUAACAACUACAGAAAAAGAUCUUAUUUUGGAGGGCACUCCGAAUCUUGAGGAUGCAGGAGGAACAGGCUUGGAAAAUGAGCAGGUGUCAAGAGGCCUCCCUAGGUCAAUGGCAGAAGCAGGCUUGCUUGGACACUUUGGCCAUGGGACAUGAUGCCACAGCUGGACAGAGUCAUGGCCAGGCAAUGCCACUAGCACCCCCAUUGGACAUUCUCUGCCUGUCCCAGGUCUGCAGAUGCAGGGCCCUGGGGUUCUCUGCCCAAAUGUCACCGUGCCCAUUACCAGGGCCAUCUGGGCCUGUUGAAGCUUCCCUCUUCCUCACUCUAUGACCUGAAGGGGAUGGAGGGUCCUUUUCUGGUGGGGUGGGGGUGGGGGUUGGGGAGGUGGAGGUCCAGUAUGGAGCUUGAACCGGCAGGCUGGUGUAAGGUCCCCACUCUUUUGGAGGGUUUUACUAAUGUCUCUAGGAAUCUCAAACACACGGCCAGGCGCGGUGGCUCACGCUUGUAAUCCCAGAACUUUGGGAGGCCGAGGCGGGUGGAUCACAAUGUGAGGAGUUCAAGACCAGCCUGGCCAACACAGUGAAACCCUAUCUCUACUUAAAAUACAAAAAUCAGCUGGGCAUAGUGGCAGGCCUGUAAUCCCAGAUAUUUGGGAGGCUGAGGCAGGAGAACCGCUUGAACCCAGGAGGCGGAGGUUGCAGUGAGCUGAGAUCGUGCCACUGCACUCCAGCCUGGGCGACAGAGCUAGACUCCAUCUCAGAAAAAAAAAGAAAAAAGAAAAAUCUCAAUGCCACAUAGCCAGUAGUUCCUCUUCUAGGAAUCUUCCAUUGGUUGCAGAAAAGAACAUAUUCUUAGUGUAAACAGUAAUUCAUGGAAUAAUACGCAUAUAAAAGUGGGAGGCCUCGUUGUUAACCUUAUGAGCUCUGGAGUCAGGCUCAAAUUCUGACUUCUGUACUUAGUAGCUGUGUGAUCCUGGGCAGGCUACUUAACCUCUCUGUGCCUUAGGCGCCUCAUCUGAAAAAUGCGAGUAAUAGUAAUAAACUUUACUGAGGUUCGUGGUGAUUAAAUUAAUAUUUGCAAAGUGCUCAGAACUAGAUCUUGGCAUUUGAUGAAUACUGAUUACCCAUUAAUUCUUUUUAUGAUAUCCUGACCCCGUUUCUUCCAUACAAAGCAGGUUAACAUGCAUCCGUGCAUGUUGGUAUGUGCCCAGAACUGUACACACGCACCCAUUAACAAUGGCUGCCUGGAAGUAGGGGUAAGAAGGAAGUGUGAGUAUCCAUGUCCCUUUGUGAUAGAUUUAUUUGUGAAUUACUGUAACUUCCUACAUCAGGCACUGACACUUGUGGACAGGUGGGUAGGUAAUAGGUAGUAGCUAUACACAGGGGUGAACAAGGACCAAGCAGGCAAAGCCCCUGCCCUGGCACAGGGGACUCUUCCAGGUCUAACUCAGGCAGUGUAAGAACGCCCCAAGGGGCCUGGGAUGCCCAGGAGCAGGGAAAGGGACUGAGGACCGGCGCUUCCCAGUGCCAGGCCACGGCACUCAGCAUUAGCCACCCUGCUCCUGGAGGUUCUGGGGCCAGAUGUCCCCCCAAGUACGCACGGUCAUUCAGUGAACAAGUGCUCUCAUCUGGAAGCGCACACGCCUCCGGCGGGCUGAACUGUGGAGAGGGUCCAGGCUCCACAGCGAACCGCCUCCCAGCAACCGGGCUCGCCCAUCGGAGGCAGAGGUCUGGCAGGAAGGGCUGGGAAGGGCGGGGUCGGUGCGGCCUGACCCCUACACCCCUUAGGCCUGGAGGCGGAUGUGCACUUCGCCCAUUUCAACAUUUCCUCCCCGGCUGGCCUCGGCCCAGGAAAGAGGCAGGGGUGCGGUUUCCCUCCGCCUCUCCCUCAGCCCUUCUCUCCCGCACCCCUCCUCCUCCUCCCACCGCUCCUUCCUCUCCUCCUUUCCCGCACCCCUCCUUUCUUUCUCGCUCAUCUCUCUGCCCUCCUUGCCCCCUUCUUCUGCCCCUCCCCCUCCGCCUCCCCCUUCCCCUCCGCCUCCCCCUCCCCCUCCCCGGGUCCUCUCCCUCCCGUUCCCCCGCCUUGCCCUCCUCCUCCUCCUCGCGGCCCCCGCCCCGGAAACCUGGCUCGCCCCGGGAGGCUGAGGUGGGGCGCGCGGGGUGGUUCAGGGGCCCAUCCUCUCCGCCUCCCGCGCGCCCCGCCCGACGGCUCGCACCUGCUUGGCGGCGGCCGCUGGAUUCUCGGCCUCGGGCUGAGGAGGCAGGAGGGAAAGUGGGUCAGCGCGGGGCCGCGGCAGGGCUGCUGUUGUGCUUGGAAAGGGGCCCGGGGUGCCGGAGGCCUCUCCCAGGCGCGGCGGCAGGAGCGCCCGCGCGUGACACUCCAGGCACAAAGGGGCCGGGCCGCCGCCUGCACUGGGGCUCGGGCGUGCGGGGAGAGGCUGUCGGGCGCCGCACGCAUGGACUGUGUUCCCCUUCCCGGCCACGGCUCGGGGCGGCGGGGGCCCGGGGCUCUCCUGUCCCCGAGCGAUGUCCCCAAGGCCUAACACCGCGAGCCGGAGCUAGCAGGCGCCCACCACGCCCGCUCUUCGUUCGCCCCACCCGGGCUAGGUCUGGGCGGCUCCCUCCUCCGGACGCUGUCCCCGCCGCCCCGCCCUGCCCCCUGGUGUCAGCCACAGGCCUCAGCAGCCUGGCGUCCUCCUCCUGGGAGCAUUUUUCUGACACCUCUGGGGGACCCGGUCCCCUGACCCCUACGCUCAUGCGGUCUGCCCAGGUCUUGGGGGGGCGUUGGCUCUGUUUCCGGGAAACCUCCGAGGCUGAUACCUGGCAGCAGCCCUGCGGAGGACUGCCCAGCCACUCACCUCCCGACCACCGUGCACCCCAGCAGCUCUGGGACGCCGGGCUCUGUGGGUGGGCUGGGUCGGGCUGCAGACAUGGGUCACUGUCCUAGAGCAAGGACUGGCUGCGAGAGCAAGGAGGGGACCAGGCCUUUGAGAUGUCAGUCCCCAAGCUCCCCUCUGCUGUCCCCUGCACAGGAGCAGAAGGGCAUGGCCUGAGGGUCAGGGUGCCUCAGCUGGCUUCCUGCACUGCCGCACACCUUGUCCUGUGCCCCCCGCCCCCCGCGUGCUAGGACCUCACCGUCCUAACAUGCCCAGAACUCUGGCUACUGCUGGAGCUGGGCCUCCUUCCUGGAGAGCCUAUCCCCUGGGUCACCUGAUGAAUGUUUCACCCUGUUCCAGAAGCUUUCCAAAUCUCUCGCCAGAAUGCCUCUCCAGCCCUUGGCUCCUGUUGCACAAUCUGCAUCCUUCUGUGCCCACGCCUGGUGCAGGCCUCUUCUCAGGCUCUGGGAGGCUGGCCUCUGUGAACGCUGGGCUGAGCCAGCUUCUGACCCAGGAGGGGCCCAGGGCUGCAACAUUCUCACCCUGCUCCAGGUUUGAGAAGGUAUUUCCAUGGGAAGCUUGUGUCAAAUGCGUACCCUUCCUGUGUGUCCUCACGUGUGUGCAGCAGUAACUGCACAAGGCUAUAGUCGGCACUGCUGAGCCUGGGGUAGCCCCUGAGCUUGUCUGAACCCAGCUGAGUGGAGCUCGAUUGACAGGCAAGUGUUUGGUGUCCCCCUGGCUUGUAGAAGGGCCGAUGUUAGCUCCUGAGACCACCAUGUGUCUACUGCGAAAGGACAGCUGGACACCUGCAAGCCUCCUACAGAUAGGGGAAGGAGGGAAUGGGGAGAAGGGGAAAAUCAGUAAAAUACGACCUUUUCCAGCACCUGGGAGAGAAGGUGCUCUUGCACCAAGAGCCAGACACUGCUCUCCUGGGGGAGGGGGCCAUCUUUCCCGGCUUCAUCCCUCUCCCUGGCCUGGGAGGGAGGAGGAGACCCCCACUGGGCCAUUCCAGGCAGGUGCUCAGCCAGUGGGCACCCUGGUCAAGCAAGCCUGGGUGCUCCAAGGUGAAAGGAACCUUAAACCCAUUGGACUAGGACCCCAACCUUCUUACCACCCUCAUCCAGGGACCCUUGUUUUG